RNAcentral lists this ribosomal RNA (510 nucleotides) under Atorella sibogae. Its description in RNAcentral is "partial large subunit ribosomal RNA". It matches the Rfam family "Eukaryotic large subunit ribosomal RNA", at positions 1458 to 1945 of the family's 3401-position model. The record is from RNAcentral. Lineage: Eukaryota; Metazoa; Cnidaria; Scyphozoa; Coronatae; Atorellidae.
UAGUAGCAAAUAUUCAAAUGAGAGCUUUGAAGGCCGAAGUGGAGAAAGGUUCCAUGUGAACAGCAGUUGGACAUGGGUUAGUCGAUCCUAAGAGAUAGGGGAACUCCGUUUAAAAGUGCCCAAUCGCGGGCCAGCCUAUCGAAAGGGAAUCGGGUUAAUAUUCCCGAACCAGAACGUGGAUAUUCCAGCCUUAACCUGUUGGAGCAGCGGCAACGCAACUGAACUCGGAGACGUCGGCGAGAGCCCUGGGAAGAGUUCUCUUUUCUUGUUAACGAGCUGACACCCUGGAAGCAGUUUGCCUGGAGAUAGGGUUUAAUGCUCGGUAAAGCACCACACUUCUUGUGGUGUCCGGUGCGCUCUCGACGGCCCUUGAAAAUCCGAGGGAGUGGUUAAUUUUCACGUCUGUUCGUACUCAUAACCGCAGCAGGUCUCCUAGGUGAGCAGCCUCUGGUCGAUAGAACAAUGUAGGUAAGGGAAGUCGGCAAAAUAGAUCCGUAACUUCGGGAAAAG